Molecule: ribosomal RNA, 451 nt
Filed under: uncultured bacterium
Lineage: Bacteria
Description: bacterial SSU rRNA
Rfam family: Bacterial small subunit ribosomal RNA
Source: RNAcentral
CAGUGGGGAAUAUUGCACAAUGGGCGCAAGCCUGAUGCAGCCAUGCCGCGUGUAUGAAGAAGGCCUUCGGGUUGUAAAAGUACUUUCAGCAGUGAGGAAGGUGGGUAUGUUAAUAGCAUAUUCAUUUGACGUUUAGCUGCAGAAGAAGCACCGGCUAACUCCGUGCCAGCAGCCGCGGUAAUACGGAGGGUGCGAGCGUUAAUCGGAAUUACUGGGCGUAAAGCGCAUGCAGGUGGUUUGUUAAGUCAGAUGUGAAAGCCCGGGGCUCAACCUCGGAAUUGCAUUUGAAACUGGCAAACUAGAGUACUGUUAGAGGGGGUAGAAUUUCAGGUGUAGCGGUGAAAUGCGUAGAGAUCUGAAGGAAUACCGGUGGCGAAGGCGGCCCCCUGGACAGAUACUGACACUCAGAUGCGAAAGCGUGGGGAGCAAACAGGAUUAGAUACCCUGGUAG